GGGGAGUUAGCUCAGCUGGUAGAGCAGCGGACUCUUAAUCCGUAGGUCCGGGGUUCGAACCCCCGACUCCCCACCA
RNAcentral lists this transfer RNA (76 nucleotides) under Betaproteobacteria bacterium RBG_16_64_9. RNAcentral's name for it is "tRNA-Lys". It matches the Rfam family "tRNA". From Rfam's summary of the family: Transfer RNA (tRNA) molecules are approximately 80 nucleotides in length. Their secondary structure includes four short double-helical elements and three loops (D, anti-codon, and T loops). The record is from RNAcentral. Lineage: Bacteria; Pseudomonadati; Pseudomonadota; Betaproteobacteria. RNAcentral also lists the same sequence under 2 other names.